Long non-coding RNA from Oncorhynchus keta (chum salmon), 1066 nucleotides. RefSeq lists it as uncharacterized. The record is from RefSeq and is a predicted model, not a curated record. NCBI's taxonomy places the organism in Eukaryota, Metazoa, Chordata, Actinopteri, Salmoniformes, Salmonidae. The transcript is spliced from 4 exons.
GUGUAGAGGAGGUAGGUAGUCUAGUGGUUAGAGUGUAGAGGAGGUAGGUAGCCUAGUGGUUAGAGUGUAGAGGAGGUAGGUAGCCUAGUGGUUAGAGUGUAGAGGAGGCAGGUAGUCUAGUGGUUAGAGUGUAGAGGAGGCAGGUAGCCUAGUGGUUAGAGUGUAGAGGAGGUAGGUAGCCUAGUGGUUAGAGUGUAGAGGAGGUAGGUAGCCUAGUGGUUAGAGUGUAGAGGAGGUAGGUAGUCUAGUGGUUAGAGUGUAGAGGAGGUAGGUAGCCUAGUGGUUAGAGUGUAGAGGAGGUAGGUAGCCUAGUGGUUAGAGUGUAGAGGAGGUAGGUAGUCUAGUGGUUAGAGUGUAGAGGAGGCAGGUAGCCUAGUGGUUAGAGUGUAGAGGAGGCAGGUAGUCUAGUGGUUAGAGUGUAGAGGAGGUAGGUAGCCUAGUGGUUAGAGUGUAGAGGAGGCAGGUAGUCUAGUGGUUAGAGUGUAGAGGAGGCAGGUAGCCUAGUGGUUAGAGUGUAGAGGAGGCAGGUAGUCUAGUGGUUAGAGUGUAGAGGCGGCAGGGUAGCCUAGUGGUUAGAGUGUAGAGGAGGUAGGUAGCCUAGUGGUUAGAGUGUAGAGGAGGCAGGUAGCCUAGUGGUUAGAGUGUAGAGGAGGCAGGUAGUCUAGUGGUUAGAGUGUAGAGGAGGCAGGUAGUCUAGUGGUUAGAGUGUAGAGGAGGCAGGUAGUCUAGUGGUUAGAGUGUAGAGGAGGCAGGUAGUCUAGUGGUUAGAGUGUAGAGGAGGCAGGUAGUCUAGUGGUUAGAGUGUAGAGGAGGCAGGUAGCCUAGUGGUUAGAGUGUAGAGGAGGCAGGUAGCCUAGUGGUUAGAGUGUAGAGGAGGUAGGGUAGCCUAGUGGUUAGAGUGUAGAGGAGGUAGGUAGUCUAGUGGUUAGAGUGUAGAGGAGGUAGGGUAGCCUAGUGGUUAGAGUGUAGAGGAGGUAGGGUAGCCUAGUGGUUAGAGUGUAGAGGAGGUAGGGUAGCCUAGUGGUUAGAGUGUAGAGGAGGCAGGUAGUCUAGUGGUUAGAGUGUA